AGAGAUGCACUGGGUUUAAAGCGUGCGCAGGCGGUUUUGUAAGACAGAGGUGAAAUCCCCGGGCUCAACCUGGGAACUGCCUUUGUGACUGCAAGGCUGGAGUGCGGCAGAGGGGGAUGGAAUUCCGCGUGUAGCAGUGAAAUGCGUAGAUAUGCGGAGGAACACCGAUGGCGGAGGCAAUCCCCCUGGGCCUGCACUGACGCUCAUGCACGAAAGCGUGGGGAGCAAACA
Molecule: ribosomal RNA, 231 nt
Filed under: uncultured Alicycliphilus sp.
Lineage: Bacteria; Pseudomonadati; Pseudomonadota; Betaproteobacteria; Burkholderiales; Comamonadaceae
Description: partial 16S ribosomal RNA
Rfam family: Bacterial small subunit ribosomal RNA
Source: RNAcentral